This 263-nucleotide long non-coding RNA is filed under the name Lathyrus oleraceus (garden pea). RNAcentral's name for it is "Pisum sativum (pea) long non-coding RNA (PSAT_LNC041899)". Lineage: Eukaryota; Viridiplantae; Streptophyta; Magnoliopsida; Fabales; Fabaceae. The record is from RNAcentral.
GCGUUUCACUUAGUGACGUGUUGGGCAACGACUCGCUCAUGGCUAUGGAACAGUAAUCCUCCAUGCAAAACAGAAAAACAAACAUGGCAAACGCGUUCUGGGCUCAGCAUUAGGGUUCGUGGCCACUGUUCACCAUGUUCAUCAAUGGUGAUGAACAAAAAUCCCAGAAAUGGGAAUUGAACGCACUGAUCAACUCAUCUAAACAUGUACAAGCACAAUCCAACCUUAAUUUCUAUCAAAUCGUGCUACACAGUAUGAAUCAU